CACUCCUACGGGAGGCAGCAGUGGGGAAUAUUGCACAAUGGGCGCAAGCCUGAUGCAGCCAUGCCGCGUGUAUGAAGAAGGCCUUCGGGUUGUAAAGUACUUUCAGCGGGGAGGAAGGCGAUAAGGUUAAUAACCUUGUUGAUUGACGUUACCCGCAGAAGAAGCACCGGCUAACUCCGUGCCAGCAGCCGCGGUAAUACGGAGGGUGCAAGCGUUAAUCGGAAUUACUGGGCGUAAAGCGCACGCAGGCGGUCUGUCAAGUCGGAUGUGAAAUCCCCGGGCUCAACCUGGGAACUGCAUUCGAAACUGGCAGGCUAGAGUCUUGUAGAGGGGGGUAGAAUUCCAGGUGUAGCGGUGAAAUGCGUAGAGAUCUGGAGGAAUACCGGUGGCGAAGGCGGCCCCCUGGACAAAGACUGACGCUCAGGUGCGAAAGCGUGGGGAGCAAACAGGAUUAGAUACCCUAGUAGUCCC
Molecule: ribosomal RNA, 471 nt
Filed under: uncultured organism
Description: partial 16S ribosomal RNA
Rfam family: Bacterial small subunit ribosomal RNA
Source: RNAcentral